CAUGACCCAGCAGCCAAUCUAAAUAUCAUCCCAGAUAGAUGGGCGGGGCUUAGCCGUAGCAUCCAGGCAAGUGUUGUUGGAGAGCCGUUAUCAUCCAUAAAUGUUGUGGCUGACGACCAGUUAUGCUGUGGUUUGGACUAGUGCGAUUCUACUAGAGGACAACGGACAUUUGUGACCAUGACUGAGAAGUGACCGUGAAUAAGAGAGCACACAGAGCGCCUGCUGCUGUCAUAGGUGUCACAGACUGCUGCUGCGCUCUUUUCCUCCGGGUUUUGUGCCUGACGUGGUUUCCCCCGACACUAUGCCUGCUGCCAGUUUAUUCAUCAUAUACAGUACAUCCAGGAUUCCCUAAAACUUGUCGUGUCCUACCAUCAAAGCUGCCGUGCUGCAGGGCGUGAUCCAGGAGUCUGGCGUGGGUGUGGAGUGAUGGUUUGAAGACGAACACGCCAGAGUUGAAGCAGUCUGGCCAGCCGGGAUCAGGAGCUGCUGUCAGCUCGUCUCUCUCAAACAGCUCAUCCACGUUACACAGAACCUGAGAGGAAGCAGCCGAUUACAGUUUGAACAGUUCUCAGGCACCCACCUUGACUUCUGCGAGACAUUUGGAGUCACCAUGGCAACGAUGCUGCGAGUUGUCCCGUGACGUUGUAAG
Long non-coding RNA from Solea senegalensis (Senegalese sole), 649 nucleotides. RefSeq lists it as uncharacterized. NCBI's taxonomy places the organism in Eukaryota, Metazoa, Chordata, Actinopteri, Pleuronectiformes, Soleidae. The record is from RefSeq and is a predicted model, not a curated record. The transcript has 4 exons.